This 212-nucleotide long non-coding RNA is filed under the name Lupinus angustifolius (narrow-leaved blue lupine). RNAcentral's name for it is "long non-coding RNA (LANG_LNC000443)". Lineage: Eukaryota; Viridiplantae; Streptophyta; Magnoliopsida; Fabales; Fabaceae. The record is from RNAcentral.
AACCUAUACUCACUUACUACGGCACACAUCCCAGACUACUUAGAAUAUAGACUCAAAUUAUGUCCUAGUCUAGAUAUGACCAAAUGAGCAUAAGGCAUGUUGAUUGUUGAGCCAUCUUCAAGCUUUAAUAGAACCUUGUCUUCAUCAAAACAUAGGCAGAGAAAUGCUAGUGCUAUCCUUGACACUUUGCACUCUCAAUCUCCCCAUUUUUG